AUCAUACCAUAUUAGAGACAAUAUGGAAGAUCUGGAUUCAGUUUGACUGUGUGUGCGCGUAUCUGCAUGCACCUACUCAGAGAUACAAAGACAAUCGCAGAUCUGGAUUCCAGCAGGAUAUUGUCCGAGAAUUCUUGCAUGAGUCUGGAGAAAUCAGUGUGGAUCCGUGCUGCAAGUGAGGCUGGAGAAGGAGCUGACAGCCUUCCCAAGCUGCAUACCAAAAUCCUCACAUGGCAAAGAGCCUUGAGACAUGCUGCGGAGAGCCGAGAGUGGCGAGGGAGCCCUGAGAACAGCUUACAGGUGGGAGAGGACAGCAGCUCCCCCUGCUCCCACCGCUCUGCUGUCGGAGGUACAGCCAAAACUCUUAACAAGGUGCCCGAGAGGUCUGGUUUUCUCUGUGCCUUCCUCGCAGAGCUUCUGUGCUGCUGCUUCCUCGCUGCUGGACUGUGCUGCACCAGAUCACACAGUAAUUGGACCCAUCUUAAAAACACACACACAAAAACAAACAGAAAACUCCAAACUGUUUUCACUUUUCACAGCGUGUAGAAAGAAAAUAGCGCAAAUACUCGCAAGGACCACACGGAUUUUAUACCCGUUUCUUUUAUGA
RNAcentral lists this long non-coding RNA (607 nucleotides) under Struthio camelus australis. RNAcentral's name for it is "lncRNA (ENSSCUG00000014003.1)". The record is from RNAcentral. Lineage: Eukaryota; Metazoa; Chordata; Aves; Struthioniformes; Struthionidae.